Molecule: small RNA, 293 nt
Filed under: Cryptococcus neoformans H99
Lineage: Eukaryota; Fungi; Basidiomycota; Tremellomycetes; Tremellales; Cryptococcaceae
Description: Cryptococcus neoformans var. grubii H99 hypothetical RNA
Source: RNAcentral
CAACAAGCCAACCCAUGAUUCUCCUCUUAUUGAUCGCCCUGUUUGGCUAGUGGUCCACGGGAUAUGGGAUGCGGGAUACAGGCUAUCUUCUACUCUCUGUUCUCUAGGGGCUUAUUAGAUCUCCGCCAACCACAGACACCUUCCAAUUUCCUGCACUAUUCCAAGAGGAUAACAUACUGUACUUCCCGCAUAUACGACUUCUAGCUCAACUUAAGAGCAGGCACUCAGUUACUAAAAGCAUGUCGUCCCGCCGCUUCUCAUUACAUUAUGUAUUAUGGAUGUCACUCCCGCCA